RNAcentral lists this transfer RNA (92 nucleotides) under Microbacterium saccharophilum. RNAcentral describes it as "tRNA-Ala". Lineage: Bacteria; Bacillati; Actinomycetota; Actinomycetes; Micrococcales; Microbacteriaceae. The record is from RNAcentral.
GCAGGUGUGGUCGGGGCGGGACGGCGAGCUCGGCAGGCACGCGAUCGACGGCCUCUACCACGGCGACACCCGGUUCCUCCGGGCGACCGCGC